UUGAACUUAGGUGCGAUAACACCGGACGUUCUUAUGAUGGCCGUCGCCCUAAUAAAGGCGGCUUCAAUUUCGGCCAGUUCAACAAAGCUUUGACGGGCGCGGAAGGGACAAGUACACGCCAGCGAAGCCCCAGACAAGUGACAGUGAGGAACGGUGGCACAGCCAGGUGAUACCACACGAGUUACCGGCCGAUGUAGUGUUAAGGAAGCCUAACCCCAAGUCGCUUUCAUCUUCCACGAUGAGUGACACUGACGUGGCCGUGCUGACCCAUUUGCUCCUCGGCAUGUCUGACGAAGAAUUGCGCUCCCUGCAUGGCAGCAGUAUGUGGUGGCUACCGGAUCUUGACACUGCUUCGCAGAUUGAAGCGAUCAACGCCAUCCUCGGUUCACUGCGAAUGUUUCACCCCAUGGACAAGCGUGCCUUCUGCGUCGCCUGGCUUUAUUGCUGCCUCGCAGAGCGGGAACUUAUCCGCUGCUGGCAUUGGUAUUCCCUGAUCCCCUGUGCCGCGCUGUUGACCGCUGAUUUCAAUCUGCAUGAGCGUCUAGCGACCGCCUUGGAUUACCCCGGAGGCCACACUAUACACGCGAAGACUGAGCGCGACGAAGCCACCUACGCUUGCAUUAUGACCACUCAUCCGAGACGCGACACAAUGGAGCACGAGGUCAUCUGUUUGUGCAUGCCGCGUUCGCUGCCGUUCCUUUUCGCCAGUGUGCCGCUGCAAGACGAGCACCGCUUCAAUGUAGCACUCGAGUCUGUAUUGCAAAUAAGUGUCCAUAGCAUCUAUGCCGGCUAUAGCAUCCAGCUGCGUGAUGUAUUUGCCAGCGCCCGCGCGGCUUGCAUGGGGCCGGCACCGGAGCCAACUGCCCCCGAAAAGCGCCGGGAAAGUAAUCUCUGACCGCCAUGUCCUCCGACAGACGUGAGCUGACAGUUGCCAACGAAUCCGUUUCAACGUUCUUUCCUGCACCAGCAUGGCUCUUACAGCAGAUGACGAGGAACGCAAUCGCAGUUUCUGUGCACAGUCUGCGACGAGGUCCUCAACGAGGGCUCGACUUGUGCAAUCCUAUGCCAGAAUAUCACCAACUCGAUCUGCUUGGAGCGUCCCAUAUGCUGAAGGCGACGUAGCAAAAGACCUCUGUAGGGCAGGUCGGGGAGGCGUUACUACACAGAGAAUACGGUGCUCCAGUCGAAAUGAAUUCAAGGUUCCUAGAGUUUCUGGCGGAAAAAUUACCUUCACGAACACGCCGUCCUUCCACUCAACAGUAGACCUACAAUGUUUCUCACGAUUUCUCUGUGUUGUAUCCGUGAAUGCUGUAAUAUUUAACGACGAAGAACUUGUGUUUAUAGAACUCUAGCGCAUUACUUGCUGUUCACGUCGACGAUCACGACUAUUUUAACCUUGGUGACUCUGGAACAAAAGUUAGGUAUAUUAUUUACAUUAGCCUUCAUAGUUCAACUCGAUAUGCGAUCGGGGCAAGUUGGGAACGAUUUCUUCCGACUACCGCAUAGGUGGGCGGGCUUAACAUAGCAACAUUUCCGACAACGUAUUAGGUAAAGCCUUCAUAAAAAAGAUUGAUGCAGGCGAUCACGAAUCGCCGUGCAGCAUAGUCUCCUUUUGAAACCACUGAGCCAUGCGGAAUUCAUUUGCACGUGUCUGUAGCAGGACUCACCUUUGCAGAGCCCAUCUCUGGUCUGAGAGAAUUUAGUAAAGCAUUUGUAAUCUCCACUGCUAUGUACACCACCCGUGCUGUGCUUUUAUUCUUUCGGACGCCUUUUAUUACAAGUUAGCUGCUGUGUUAUGCUUCUGUGUACAACUUGCUUGUGUAAUAAAUUUGAGAUCUUUUGUCUUUCA
This is a long non-coding RNA of Dermacentor andersoni, 1849 nucleotides long. RefSeq lists it as uncharacterized. The record is from RefSeq and is a predicted model, not a curated record. Lineage: Eukaryota; Metazoa; Arthropoda; Arachnida; Ixodida; Ixodidae.